RNAcentral lists this long non-coding RNA (1755 nucleotides) under Gallus gallus (chicken). Its description in RNAcentral is "lncRNA (ENSGALG00010023675.1)". Lineage: Eukaryota; Metazoa; Chordata; Aves; Galliformes; Phasianidae. The record is from RNAcentral.
CUUGGUGAAACUUCCCCUUGUGAAUCUAGGAUUUUCUGAUAUGGGGUGGGAUACCCACCACCAUCUGGUGCCCCAGUACCUCGGGAACUCUGUUGAUGUGGGGCUUACUCCUUAUAUCUGCAGUUAACUUCAGAGAGGACCCUGGCAGUUUCUGACCAACGCUUUCAGGAGCUCUGUGUUUGCCUGUGUGUCAAAGGUAUUUUGUAAAGAUGUCGGCUGUUAGGUGGUCUUUUGUCACUCACAGAAGACACAAUGUGAAGGAAGACUCCUUUCCUGGGAGCAUGAGGGUUUCAGCUGCUGUUGCCACUGACCCUCAUCAUGCAACUGACUCCUGAGAGUCCACAAUGUGGGAUCUAAAAACUGGAAGUAGCAUUCCUGCCAUGCACAGAGCCCUGAACAUCUCAUACAGAAGGUUCCAGAAAACAAGUUCUCAAGCAGACUAUCUGAUGCAAUUGUCUUCUGCUAUCAGUACGGUGAAGGACAAAACUCAAAACAAAGUUCCAAACCCUUGAAAGGAGGUGGCGAGUUUCUUAACAACCUGGUCUGUGUUUGAGAUCAAAGGUCACCGUGGUCUAGGACCUGAGCAGAAAGUAAGGUUAAAAAGAUGCAGUUAAUGACUUACCACCUGAAAAAUGAUUUGUGCUCCAGUUAGAGUGAGACACCAUCCAUGUUACUUUUCUAUCUGCAAGUGGGCAUUAUGAGAAAUGCCGACUCCAGAGAUUGCUUUGUGUGCAUUUGACAAGUGAUGAAAACUGUUUUCAUAGAUCAAGAAUCACUUAAAUGUUGUUUUUACAAUUAUUUUCUGCUUGUCUUGCUCUAGUCUUCCUUCUUAUUCCUCUGACUCAGUCCUUGGUAGUCUCCAUGCUGGUGACAGCCAUUCUUGUUUUCUGAUGUUACCUGUGAUUGCACAACUUAACGUGCUAGUGCCAUGAAGGAUUAAAAAAAAGCCACAACUCCCCAUAGACUCAAUCAUUAGCAAUUCCCUUAUCUUCUUCUGCAUUCCCUUUCUUCUGAUGUUCCCAUCUUCCAAAUCUGCUGAGGCAUCCAAUGUCGUAACUGCAAUCAUCAGUUUCAUGUGUCAGAGUUUGCAGAUUUUUUUUUUCAAGUGACCAUUCACAGGCUCACAAGUUCUUCUCUGUACUAUAUUCUUAUACUUUCCAUGUUUGUUAGCUUACACAGAGAGAAUACAAUACACUGGAGAUACAUGGAUUAAUGCUGAACUGGCUGAGGGAAAGUCACCUGAAUAUCCAUCAUUAUUCUGCAUUUAAAAUCUUAGGUGAAAGAAAGCUGAAAGAGUUCCUUUCUGUCCUGGUGACAACAGCCCCUUCAUGUGCUUUCCUGAGACAAAAUGUAAAGAUUCUUUCUAGGACCAAAAUUACUGUGGUUUCUUGUGGUGCAAAGACAGCCACUGUGUUAAUCCCACCCAUCAUGGUUUUGCUCUUCAGAUAUUUCUCUGAAGGAGAAAGUCGUCACUUUAUAAACCCAACUCACUCAUCUUCUUUUACUCUUUGUAUGCAUAUACAUACAUAGAUGUCUCUAUAUUCUAUAUGCACAAGCAUAUGUGCAUAUUUGCCCUCUCCAAGGGCUGUUGUCAACAGCAGUAGCAGAAGUUCCCCCACUCUUUCAGCUUGAACUUCUCAUGGGUCAGUAAGUCUUGGUCGUAUUUGUUCCUUGUGCUGAUGGAAAAGCCACAAGCUUUCCUGGCUAACAAGCCUGUUUGUAUCACACUGAUAUUUGAAUGAAGGCUAAAUAAAA